UACCAUUGACGCAAUCAAAUAUCCCCACUCCUUGCUCCUACUGGCGCCACAUUCGACGCUUCCCCCACUAAUGACCGCCAGUUGGCGGGAAAACGUAUCCCGUGACAGCUGCUACGUACGAGUGAGAGGCCGAGAGAGGCUCGGUCCACAUCGGCUCCUUCUGAUUCUACUCUCUGCCUCUCUCCCUCCUCUUUUUUUUCUAACCCGCGCGUCUUUUCGUGACAGUCUUCCUUCCUUCUUUAUCGAGUUUCUAAACUACAUCAUAUUCUCUCUCUCUCUCACCCCCACUCUCAUUCAUUCACUCUUUUAUUGUACGAACUUUUUUUCGUUCUGUUCGAUGUCUGUACUCUCCAUAAGGGAGGUUCAACCUAACAUAGUUUUUUAUAGAAUAUCCUUAAUGUACCUGUACCUGCUUCUCUCUGCGAUUCCAUUGACGCUCAAGAGACACAAAAAAGAUGGCGGCGUUUGAAACUUUUAUUUCCCGCGCUUUCUUCUAUACGUAAUAAAAUCUUUCACUGAGUUUCUUCAAGAGAGACGACGUCGUCUGAAGGAAGAACAAUGUUUUCCCUCACUUUUUUUAAUGACUUUUUAUUCUUAAAUGAAACGACGAUAGCAAAGAUCAAUUAAAUGAUCAUUCAAUUGAAUGAACAGAAACGAAAGAAUCUAAAUAGAACAAUGAAAAGGAGACAUUAUUUCUCCAUUUUUCUAUUAUACAUAUACAGGUUUAUCGAAAAGUGAUUAUUCGAGGACAUCCGCUGCGAGACUAGAGGAACCCGAGUUGGAUGUAAAUCUAACGCAAAUAUCUUCUCUCGAUUCACGAGGCGAGGGCUGACGUUCGAUUUCAAUAGCAGCAGAGACGGAAGUCGCAUGAGAGAGAGGGAAGGAAAGAAUGGCAAGCAGCAGCUCAUGUGAAGAACUCGUCAACGGUAGCUGACGACGAUAGGCAGUUGAUACAUCGUCGUCGGCUGUCUCUAUCAGUAAGAAAGAAGGGAAAGGAGAGGAGAAACAGCAAGUGAAGCGAAAGAGGAGGAGGAGAAGGUGGGAGAAUAGGAAGGAGAAGAGGACGCUUCGAAGACGUUGCGCAACUGAGGACUUACAUAACUUCGAUACGAGCGCCACUCUCUUGCUUUCCCCUCCUCUCCACUCACCCCACUCCUUCUUCGGCUUGUCGAGGUACUUUACGUGCGAACAGCACCCCCACUUCUUACUUUGACGAGCACGCUCUUAAAACACGUGUUAGCCUUGCCAACAGUCCUGCGCUAUAAGCUUUCUUUUUCGAUUGUCAAAAUCUUAUUUAAUUUUGGACAUAUUUUACUUAUCCAUAUCCUUUCAAAAUAAUGAUGAAAAUUUUAAAAAGAUUCGCGAAAAUGAUUAGAUUAAGAUCUAUAUAGAUAUUUUUCGGAAAUAAAAAGAAACACACAUAGAAAAAAAAAAUAGGAAACGCGCGAACGUUUAGAAAAUCAACUAGAAUAACAAUAUCACGUGCUUGUUACCGUUCGACCGAUAGUACAAAUAUCAAUGAGAAAGA
This is a long non-coding RNA of Vespa mandarinia (Asian giant hornet), 1528 nucleotides long. RefSeq lists it as uncharacterized. The record is from RefSeq and is a predicted model, not a curated record. NCBI's taxonomy places the organism in Eukaryota, Metazoa, Arthropoda, Insecta, Hymenoptera, Vespidae.